RNAcentral lists this ribosomal RNA (487 nucleotides) under uncultured bacterium. RNAcentral describes it as "bacterial SSU rRNA". It matches the Rfam family "Bacterial small subunit ribosomal RNA", at positions 36 to 518 of the family's 1533-position model. The record is from RNAcentral.
CUGGCGGCGUGCUUAACACAUGCAAGUCGAACGAUAAGCUAUUGAAGAUAGUGCUUGCACGAUUGGAAAUAGUGGAAAGUGGCGAACGGGUGAGUAACGCGUAAGCAACCAACCUUACAGAGGGGGAUAGCCCCGGGAAACUGGGAGUAAAACCGCAUAAGACCACAGUGUCGCAUGACACAGGGGGUAAAAACUACGGUGCUGUAAGACGGGCUUGCGUACCAUUAGGCAGUUGGUGAGGUAACGGCUCACCAAACCGACGAUGGUUAGCCGACCUGAGAGGGUGAUCGGCCACAUUGGGACUGAGACACGGCCCAAACUCCUACGGGAGGCAGCAGUGGGGAAUAUUGCGCAAUGGGGGGAACCCUGACGCAGCAACGCCGCGUGAGUGAAGAAGGUUUUCGGAUUGUAAAGCUCUGUCUUUGAGGACGAAUAAGAUGACGGUACUCAAGGAGGAAGCCCCGGCUAACUACGUGCCAGCCGCCGC